GAUGAACGCUGGCGGCGUGCCUAAUACAUGCCAGUCGAGCGAACAGAUGAGGAGCUUGCUCCUCUGACGUUAGCGGCGGACGGGUGAGUAACACGUGGAUAACCUAUCUAUAAGACUGGGAUAACGUCGGGAAACCGGAGCUAAUACCGGAUAAUAUAUUGAACCGCAUGGUUCAAUAGUGAAAGACGGAUUUGCUGUCCCUUAUAGAUGGAUCCGCGCCGCAUUAGCUAGUUGGUAAGGUAACGGCUUACCAAGGCAACGAUGCGUAGCCGACCUGAGAGGGUGAUCGGCCACACUGGAACUGAGACACGGUCCAGACUCCUACGGGAGGCAGCAGUAGGGAAUCUUCCGCAAUGGGCGAAAGCCUGACGCAGCAACGCCGCGUGAGUGAUGAAGGUCUUCGGAUCGUAAAACUCUGUUAUUAGGGAAGAACAAAUGUGUAAGUAACUAUGCACGUCUUGACGGUACCUAAUCAGAAAGCCACGGCUAACUACGUG
RNAcentral lists this ribosomal RNA (497 nucleotides) under uncultured bacterium. RNAcentral describes it as "partial 16S ribosomal RNA". It matches the Rfam family "Bacterial small subunit ribosomal RNA", at positions 28 to 507 of the family's 1533-position model. The record is from RNAcentral.